This 507-nucleotide long non-coding RNA is filed under the name Mustela putorius furo (domestic ferret). RNAcentral's name for it is "lncRNA (ENSMPUG00000026704.1)". The record is from RNAcentral. Lineage: Eukaryota; Metazoa; Chordata; Mammalia; Carnivora; Mustelidae.
UUUCAGGGUUGGCUUUCUGGGAAGACAUCAACUCUGAAAUAUGAAUAAAGGACAGAAAGUUAAAGAAGGUUUUUCUCAGGGCCUGUGUGAAACCAUGCAGAAGACAACCAGGAGAGUCAGAAACGUAUGCGGGUAUCACACCGCCGGGAUGAGACAAGUCAUCAUGAAGCUAGAAUUUUGUGAUAUGAUAGAUUCUGGACUCGCAGUGGUCUCCAGCGGAGGCUUCAGCUUGUGGUGAGGGUGUCCUGAACGACGAUGUUCCAUGAAAGGUGCUGCACACGAGUGAUCAUUCUGGGCUCCGCUUCCCUUCCUCUGUCUUCCCAAAGCCUCCAGUAGAAGAGCAAGUGGGAACGGUAAGAAUUUCUAAGCAACUGAAUGGAACAGAUGCUGUUGGAGGUAGUUUUGUGGGCCUGAGAAGAAUAAAGGAGAAGGGGAAGGACUGAAAUGAUUGCCAAGGGAAAAUACAGAAGGGAAGCUACACAGCCAUCCUGGGUCGGAGGGUCCCCC